GACGUAGGGCGCGAGCGUUGUCCGGAUUUAUUGGGCGUAAAGAGCUCGUAGGCGGCUGCUCAAGUCGAAUGUGAAAACUCGAGGCUCAACCUCGAGCCUGCAUUCGAUACUGGGCGGCUAGAGUCUGGUAGGGGGAUCUGGAAUUCCUGGUGUAGCGGUGGAAUGCGCAGAUAUCAGGAGGAACACCGGUGGCGAAGGCGGGAUCCUGGGCCAGUACUGACGCUGAGGAGCGAAAGCGUGGGGAGCAAACAGG
RNAcentral lists this ribosomal RNA (253 nucleotides) under uncultured bacterium. Its description in RNAcentral is "partial 16S ribosomal RNA". It matches the Rfam family "Bacterial small subunit ribosomal RNA", at positions 524 to 776 of the family's 1533-position model. The record is from RNAcentral.